AGCUCCAAAAGCGUAUAUUAAAGUUGUUGCAGUUAAAAAGCUCGUAGUUGAACCUUGGGCUUGGUUAGCCGGUCCACCUUUUUGGUGUGUACUGGAUCUAACCGAGCCUUUCCUUCUGGGUAACCUUCAUCCUCUGGGUGUUGGCGAACCAGGACUUUUACUUUGAAAAAAUUAGAGUGUUCAAAGCAGGCCUUUGCUCGAAUAUAUUAGCAUGGAAUAAUAGAAUAGGACGUUAUGGUUCUAUUUUGUUGGUUUCUAGGACCAUCGUAAUGAUUAAUAGGGACGGUCGGGGGUAUCAGUAUUCAGUUGUCAGAGGUGAAAUUCUUGGAUUUACUGAAGACUAACUACUGCGAAAGCAUUUACCAAGGACGUUUUCA
This 377-nucleotide ribosomal RNA is filed under the name uncultured eukaryote. RNAcentral describes it as "SSU rRNA". It matches the Rfam family "Eukaryotic small subunit ribosomal RNA", at positions 587 to 972 of the family's 1831-position model. The record is from RNAcentral.